CCAGUUUUACAUCUUUAACUCAACAAAAUAAAAAUUAAAAACCAACUAUGGAGGAGUUGAUUACAAAACACAACUCUCUCCCAAAAUAACGCCAACGUCAUCACGUCGACUUGACGGCUCCUCACUAGAAUCUUACUCCCUGCACCCUGCCACUGUCAUUCUGCUCCCACGAACAAGGUUUGUGAUCAUCACAGGUAUCAACCACACGAUACAAAAUUGCAAGGGUGAGUUUAUUAUAAAAAGAACCAAUACCAAUUCCAAAUAACCACAAUUAGUAAGGAACAUAGGCAAACAUGAUGAGCAUACACAACAAUUAUUCUUCAACACUCAUAUCCAACAAAUAUUCAUCAUCCACAUCCAACAAUUACUCAUCAUCCAUCCAUGGACCCAAUCAAGAUUGCGCAGAAUGAUGCAUGCACCUGACUCAACACUCAGAUGCAAUGUGGUACGUACCAACAACAACCAAAUCUCAGGAAAUAGCCUAAGCGUGUCCACACGACACUCUCACUUAGGGAACUGUGCUGAGUUUGUCGAGACCACCCGGUUGUGCACGUAACAGCCCCCCUCCCAUAGAUGAUCAGCCUGGGAGCCCAAAGGUGUUCCCUACCAGGUGACAAGCCCUCUAGUACAAAGUACACUUGGCCGCAGUUACUCUAUUUCCUGUGUCGUAUGAGCUAUGAUCACGGCCAAAAGUAAGUGCCAAAGACCAUGGGCCAAUUAAAGCGCCUAAGCAUUCCCUCAAAAAUGCUUAGAUUCUCUAACCACGCUAGUUACCCACGUUUGGGCCAUCCGACAAGGUCAAUGCACUCUACCCCCCAUGGCAUACACUCCAUACGACGUAUGAUUGUGGCCAAAAGCUAGUGCCAAAGACCCUGGAAGGUCAGUGCACAGUGCCCCCCACGAUCAUACACAACAUCCAACGUAUGAACGUGGCCAAAAGCUAGUGCCAAAGACCCUGGAAGGUCAAUGCACAAUGCCCCCCACGAACAUACACAACAUGCACAUGCCAAUGCAUUUUCAACAUCAAUCAACAUUCCAUUUCCAUGUCAUUCACAACAUAAAUAUCAUCUCAUCUCAAUGACGUUAUCAACAACAACAACAACCUCAUUUCAUAUUCACAUAUUCAUCAAUAAUAACAAUUCAUGUUGACAUGGUCUUUAUUAACAGCGUCAUCUCAAAUCAAUAUCAUCAUAAUUAUCAUUAUCAUCACAUAUCAAUUAAAAUCCUUAAUAGCGACAUCAACAACAAAUCGCCAUCAUUUGGAAAUUCCGACCACGCCAAUGUGACUGGGGUUUAGUGUAGGUUAUGAAAAUAACAUGCAUUUCAUGAAAGGAUAACGUUUACAAAGUCUCUUUCUCUAAGGUUUUUCAAAGGAAGCAUAAGACAUGCAAUGGCGGUUCCAAAGUCAGAAAAGAUGCAAAGACAAGAUGAAAAUAACAAGAAACAAGCAUAGAACCAUGGUUACCUCGAAAGAAAACGAAAGGUCAGAUUAGGGUUUCAUUCUCUACCAAAACCGCAAGCCAAGUUGGAAGAUUCCGCUUUGGUUGAAGGGUUCCUCUCGGUGUGGGGUUUCAAUGGAGGACAACGAUG
RNAcentral lists this long non-coding RNA (1590 nucleotides) under Glycine max (soybean). Its description in RNAcentral is "long non-coding RNA (GMAX_LNC002679)". The record is from RNAcentral. Lineage: Eukaryota; Viridiplantae; Streptophyta; Magnoliopsida; Fabales; Fabaceae.